CCUACGGGAGGCAGCAGUGAGGAAUAUUGGUCAAUGGACGAGAGUCUGAACCAGCCAAGUAGCGUGAAGGAUGACUGCCCUAUGGGUUGUAAACUUCUUUUAUAUGGGAAUAAAAUGUUCCACGUGUGGGAUUUUGUAUGUACCAUAUGAAUAAGGAUCGGCUAACUCCGUGCCAGCAGCCGCGGUAAUACGGAGGAUCCGAGCGUUAUCCGGAUUUAUUGGGUUUAAAGGGAGCGUAGGUGGAUUGUUAAGUCAGUUGUGAAAGUUUGCGGCGCAACCGUAAAAUUGCAGUUGAAACUGGCAGUCUUGAGUACAGUAGAGGUGGGCGGAAUUCGUGGUGUAGCGGUGAAAUGCUUAGAUAUCACGAAGAACUCCGAUUGCGAAGGCAGUUCACUGGACUGCAACUGACACUGAGGCUCGAAAGUGUGGGUAUCAAACAGGAGUAGAUACCCGAGUAGUC
Molecule: ribosomal RNA, 460 nt
Filed under: uncultured bacterium
Lineage: Bacteria
Description: partial 16S ribosomal RNA
Rfam family: Bacterial small subunit ribosomal RNA
Source: RNAcentral